Molecule: long non-coding RNA, 2809 nt
Filed under: Triticum aestivum (bread wheat)
Lineage: Eukaryota; Viridiplantae; Streptophyta; Magnoliopsida; Poales; Poaceae
Description: long non-coding RNA (TAES_LNC028475)
Source: RNAcentral
CACACAACUUACACAUACGUUCAAUCAGAUUACAUGUAAGACCUCAUGCAAUAACAUAAAUAGACCAAAAACAUAUGUUUUUAACACAUGCAUGAACCGUACAUAUAUAGACAUUAUAUGCCUCAAAAUGCAAAGUACAUAUGUUUAAGGUAAAGAAAUCGUGCCACGCAACCAAAAUUGGCAUACAAUGGCUUGUCUGCUGAAACAACCACCAAAAUGAGCAGUGUAAAACUUGUCAAUAUCUGGAGGUUCAACAAACAAGACAUAUUACAUAUAUAUCAUCACUCCAGCAACUUGUCAGACCUUCAAAACCUCCAGCAACUUGUAGAUCUUCCAAACCUCCAUCAACUUGUGUAUCUUGAGAAGCCUGCAACAAAUCGGAAACUCGGAAAAUGGUGCUAUCGUUUCAGAUUUUAAAUCAACAUAUUAAAGAUUUUGAUGUGCUGCAGUUUAACGUCAGCAUAUAACUCUUCUGAAUGUUAUGCACUUCAUCAUCACAACAAGUAGUGAUUAUUACGUACAUAAUUAGAUCAAGCAGAAAUUAUUUGCACUUCACAUACAAAAAUCUUCCAUGGGCAAAUAUGACAAAACAAGAAUGUGUAACAUUGUUGCUUGCUUCACUAAACUGUAUAGUCCAAGCUCACCCAAGAAAUAGAUUGCACUAAUUUUAUCAGUAAACUUUCAGAUCUGAUAUGAAAGUCAACCUAGAACAAAAGAAAGAAUCCACAAAACAAAUUUGAAAAACCAGAGGACUGUACAGCAAAAAAUCAAAGUUGAAGAUGCAUAUUACCUCCUCAACUUGCUUGUGGUCACAUUACUGCAUUUGCUAGACUUAUCCACUUGCAGCUGCAUACAUACAAGCAGACUUUUAAGGUGUAAAAAUAAAUUGAGAGCAAGCAUUGAGCAUGCAAAAAAAAUUGUAACCACCCAAGCCAGGGUAAAAUUUUGUGCCUGGCCAAAUAUUGGCAUCGUGGAUCUGGGCACAAAACAAGCACAUUGAUAGAUCAUUAAUGCGUGAUAUGGUCAAGAUUUUACAUACCUUAAAUUAGUCUUUCAGCUGCUCUAUGAGGCCCAUAACAUGAGGGAUGAUAAUUUGGAUCAGCGGAAACUGUUCAGGGAUGCCAAAAGAAUCUCGAGACAGUAAAAUGUAUCAACUCAGAGGUAACUGGCAAUUUAGAGGCAAGUGCAUUAUUAACAAGCUGCUAACAAAAUUCUGAGAACAAAGGGUGUAUCUUAGGUUUAACUGAAUGCAGACAUUCACAGUAACUAUGGUGGCCUUGGUCAAGCAUAUUGCAAAACAACACCUAUCUGAAACUAGCUGAAAUCUAGUUAAGUGUUAACUGAUUUUGCUGGUAACCAGAAAUCUGUUUGUAUGAAGAAACUUGUUGAAACCUAGUUAAGUGUUAACUGAUUUUUCUUGUAACCAGAAACCUGAAAUUGGCUUUGACUGGAACUAGUUGAAAUAUGAAGCGCAAAACUUGUAGAAACCCAUAUAUCCCAGUUCCAUAUGUGUUCCCUGGAAACUCCCAGAUUUUUAAUGACUUUGAGCGAAUUUGCGUGCCGGAGGAUAUGGGAACAGAAUUGAUAGCAAAGUUUGACAGGAACCUGCGUGAAUAAUCCAUUAAUCAUCGUGCCCCGAUCGAUCGGUUCGGUACUCGGUUUUGCACCGAACAGGCCGAACAGUUGGCGGGAUGUGAUGGCGGGAUGGGAUGGCUGCUAUACUUUUGUCUCGGCGGGGCUAGAUAACAACACGUGUUAUGCUCAAAGAAAAAAAAUACAUGAGGUGAGCGAGACAACAGGCAACAACAAACAGUACCUAGGUUCACUAAAAAAGCUGGCGGGCGUCCUGUACAUGUGACGAGAAUCAGGGGGCCAGCCGGCCAGCCUACGGCACUGUUUUCCACUCAUCAUAUUAACGCGCCAUCCCAUCAAUACAAUUGAUUUUUUGUUUGUUGGCUGGCAACACAGAGCGAACAAAUGGGAACUAAUUUAUGGAAGACGCACGAGACAGUUAGUGGUGGGCCUCGGUGCUUCGGUCAAUUCGGUUACCUGACUGUGCAUACAUACACAUGCCAAGCAAAUUCUCGGUUCAUAUGUUUACUGCAGUUUUAUUUGCAUGAAGCAUAUAAGAAACGAAAUGCUAAAUAAGUUUCAAUGUUCUGAAAUAGCAGCAAACAUGUAUCCAAAAGAAAAAUACUGAAUCUAAGACUUAACUACCAAGAUUAUUACCUCCUCAGCUUGCUUGUGGUUGCGUACUCGUGUUGCUGCUUUUGCCAUGAACUUAUAAGUCACUCUCAGCUGCAUAUAUAGAAGCAAAGACUUUUAAGCUAUCAACCAUAAUAGUCAUUGGUAAAUAUAUAAUCAGAAGAGCAUAAGCUUAUGUGCUUGUAUGGAGUAGUCGACGCUGCUUGGUGGAGAGGACAAACAACAUGCAUACUGCUCACAAAACAAAAAAUCCAAAAUAUUAUUUCAGUGAAAGAAUCAAAUGAAAAUUAGGGAACAGUUUGUAAGAAUUACAUAUAGGAGAAAAGAGCAUGGUACUCAGCUAGCCCCAUGACCCAAUUCUUCAAAAAAAAUCUACUUAGGAGCAUAGCUCCCAAUUUCCAUUACUGAAAACAUCACAUGUCUCAAGUUCGUCCCCCUCCAGGGGUACCUCAAAACAUCAGAAACUAAGCCACACACAGCAGCACUAGUACCAAACUAGACGCAGAACCUAAACAACGAGCAUCCAAACGUUCUAAUUACCAGCAACAAAACAAUAGUCUUAUAUUACUCGUGGCCCUACAUGCAAGGUACUGUACUACCAGGG